GCACAAGAAAGAUAUGAGAAGGCAAAAGAAAAGACGGGCCAAAGAGAAAGGUUUGGGUGUUACAGUUGAAUAUGCCAAAGAGAAAGGUGCACAAACAAAAGACACUGUCCGUGAAGGAGCUCAAAGAACAUCAAAACAGAUUGCAGAGAAGGGAUCUCAGGCAAAAGAUUCUGUCCUUGAAGGGGCUCAAAAGACUACCCAGUAUGUAACAGAGAAAGGCACCCAAGCCAAAGAUACUCUCAAACAGAAAGGUGCACAGGCAAAAGACACUGUCCUGGAAGGAGCUCAAAGAACAUCACAACAGAUUGCAGAGAAGGGAAGUCAGGCAAAAGGGACAGUCCUUGAAGGGGCUCAAAGGACUACCCAGUAUGCCAUAGAGAAGGGUUCCCGGGCUAAAGAUUCCGUAGUUGAUGGGGCCCAAAAGACAUCUCAACGAAUGGCAGAGAAAGGCACUCAGGCAAAAGACACCGUCCUUGAAGGUGCUCAAAACACCACCCAAUAUGUUGCAGAGAAGGGUUCCCAAGCAAAAGACACUAUAGUUGAAGGGGCUCAAAAAUCUUCCCAGUAAAUUGUAGAGAAAGGAGCCAAGGCAAAGGAUGCUGUCGUUGAAGGGGCUCAAAAAACUACACAGUAUGCGAAAGAAAAGGCGGCAACUGCUAAAAAUGCGACUGAGGAAGUGGCACUUGAUGUGAAGGACAGAGCUGCUGUGACAGGUUGGACCGCCGCGCAUUACACCACAGAGAAAACGGUGGAGGGGACUAAGGCGGCAGCGAAGGCCGUUCAGGGAGUGACAGAGAAGGCCGCGGAGCUUGCGGCCAACUCUUUUAAUGCUGCUAAGCAAGCUGCUGUGUCUACAGGUGAGAGUAUAACGGAGGAUACUGCUAGGAAGAAAGAGGAGGCAGAGAGAGGACUGGAAGCCAGGAUAACAGUCGACAGGUACGCUAGCUUCAACAGAUAAUUUGUCAUGACAGUUGAAUUGAAUUUAGUACCUAGUACUCUUUCAAGUUUGUAUAUGAUAGUUUUUUUCUUGGUUUGCGUAGUUGUUUCUUAGUACAGGGAAAUCUUAUGCUAUGCUAUUACGCAAGUAAUGCAGGGAGCAUGAGUGCGAAAGCUAAUGUGAUUCCACUACCACAAUUAAGAAGAAGAAAGAUACUACCGAUGGUGAAAAAGAAAAAACCACAUUAAAUUUUCCUUGAAGAUAUAUAAUGUACUUUGGGUGAUGACAGGUUAAUUUGCAUGGUCAAGGAAUACUAGGAGAAAUAUUGCUGAAAUUGACUGAAAGCAAGUUAAUUUGAAGAUAAAUACUAACAAGGAUUUCAAUUUCACAUAUUUGGCUCUCAGCCUAAAUCUAAUACUGGGAAACAUCGCAUAAGAUGUGCAUUCAGCUGGUAUGUCCAUUGUUUGGAUAAGUAGAGAAGCAACUAGGGGUUUGGAGAAAGUCGUUAUGCGGCUAACUAUUCAAGAAAUGCUAGCUUGAUAUAUAGCUUCACCUACCAAUGGCUAGCAUGUCAAAAUUGGACUAUUUCAUAUCAAUGUUGUAUUCCAAUAGUCUUAAUACAAGUAUGAUUACUCUUUUGUAAUUUUAAUUGUUCUAUAAUUGAAAUGGAGUUUUACAUUUAUGUUUGUCUAAUUGAGGAUAAUGAGAGAGUUUCCAGGGUGGAUAAUACAUAGAAGAAUCCCAGCUUCAUUCAACAGGAGGAGAAGGAAAAACAGAGGCCAAACCAACCGAGAGCAUCAGCGGGAAAGUCUAUCCAGAAGCCUCAGAAGAACAAGAGGAGGAGCAUCAUCUGCACGAGCAGCAAAAGGGAGGCAGCCUUCUCGGUGCCAUUGGCAAAACUAUAACUGAGAUUGCUCAGACAACCAAAGAGCUUGUUAUUGCACACAACCAACCUAGAGCACAGGACAUUGCUGGAUAUGAAGCAAGCCAAACCCAAUAUAGCAAGCAAGAAGAACAUCAAAACAGAGAAUAAGUUUAAGUUCUUAGAGGUUUUGGUGGCCUCUCCUUCUAGCAACCAAAUUAAGUAGAUAAGAAGUGAUAUAUAAGCUAUGUUAUAUGUUCUGUUGAAUGGGUUCAUGAGCAUAGAUGGCCUUUUUGGCUGGUUUUGCUUUAUCUGUGAUUUUGGAAUGGUGAAACUUUGAAACAUUUACUGUAUUCAGUUCAUAAUCAUGUUUUAGUACUACUUGG
This 2185-nucleotide unclassified non-coding RNA is filed under the name Hevea brasiliensis (rubber tree). Lineage: Eukaryota; Viridiplantae; Streptophyta; Magnoliopsida; Malpighiales; Euphorbiaceae. The record is from RNAcentral.